This 2280-nucleotide long non-coding RNA is filed under the name Taeniopygia guttata (zebra finch). RNAcentral's name for it is "lncRNA (ENSTGUG00000022962.1)". The record is from RNAcentral. Lineage: Eukaryota; Metazoa; Chordata; Aves; Passeriformes; Estrildidae.
GUCAGUUGGCUGUGCUGUGAGGAGUAAGGAUUGGGUGGUUGCAUAAGGGACAGGAAGGAGUCAGUCGGCCGUGCGGAAGGAAGAGAAAAGGAGUCAGUGGAGCUGCCCAUGAGAACUCCCAGAGAGAAGGUGUGAAAGUUUUACAGCAGGGUGGUGAACUGAUGGUGACAGUCAGUUCCCAUCCACUGUCAACUGGUGCCAAGCACUGAUGCUGACGAGUCACUGAAUGCACAUGGACUGAUGCCAGUAAGAGAGGUUUCUCUCUCUUCAAUCAUAGUUUUGAAGUGACAGGUACAGUUCCUUACUAGGUGUUAGAGAAGCAGUUAUGUAACUGUGAAAUGGAGAAAUCUAUAUUAAAAGGGUUGAUAAGGCAUUCCUCAUCUCGGCCUGUAAAGAGUCUGUGAAGCAGGGCCAUUGGACAUCUUAACAAGUGCCAUAGAGGCAUGGCACAUCCUCUGCAGUGUCUGAAGUUUGCAGACUUGUUUUCCCCCUGUAGCAAACAGGCAGAAAUCAAGCACCACAAAUGUCAGAGGAGACAGAAGUCUUUUCCAGUGACACUGGAGAGUCUCUGACUGGCAAUAAAGUACUGCUGUGGAAAGCCAAAAGGUAAAGAUCAUCAUCACUGUGUAUUUAUAUUGUUUUUUAAAACUUGAAUUCCUAAAGAAGCAAAGCAUAUGUAAUUUUUCUUUUGGCUUCUCUGUACAUACUUCUUCCAGCUAUCCAUCAAAACUUUUGAAUCCUAAAAUUUCAAAUAAUAUGGACAGGGUAGGUCUGAGAUUUUAAAAGUAAUGGAUUUUGAAGAGUAUUGUGAAAAUUUGUAUUUGGAUAGCUAAUAUUUGUGUCAUUGAGGACAAAACUACUUGUAUGAGUCAGUACAUGUUGAGCCAAUAUAUGUGCUGAAACAGCUGGUUAAUCACCAUGUGUGUGAUACCAGAGAGCUAUUUCACAUUUUGCCCAGCAGAAAGCUGAGAUAAAAGAAGGAGCUGUGGCAGCAACCUCUGUUGUAGUGUGUAAUCUACAGAAUUAGAGAAUUUUAGGAGAAAAGGGUUCAUUAGCUCUGUUGUUAAUGAACAAAUAUUUACUUUGUAUAAUUCCUGCUAUAUUUCAAAGUAAAAUAUUUAUGAUCACAGUUGAAAAUAUUGAUAGAAACAGAAUAAUAAAUUAAUUCCUUGCUUUUUAACUAAUUUUGACUAAUAUAUUUUAUUGAUACAUAUAUCUUUGUUGUAAAAAACUUUCUAAAAAUACAAUGCUUUUGAGAGGAUUGUGUCUGUUUCAGAAAAACUUUUAAUAAAAUAGAAAGACAGUUUAUUUACAUAUCAUAUGGUAUCUUCCUUAUGUAAGUCACAUAUGCUUUCUAAAAGGGGACAGUACUGAUCUAGAAAAACUAGAUUUUUUUUUCUAUUCACUGCAAACAAUGAAACUUCAAACAUGACUAUAAUUCUCUCUGUUUUGUGGAAGGAUUAUUUUAACAGAAACUUUUAAAAUCAAUGUGUACAUGAUUUAGUUCUGUCACUUGCGGUGCUAUAAACCAUGUUAUGCUAUAUUCUAGAUCUUUGGCAAAGGUACAGUAGAGAUUUUGGGUCAGUUUGCAGAAUGUAUUUGUCUAGAAUGAAGUUAAAAGAUGGAAAAUUAGUGCAAUUUGUUGAUAAUCUUUUUCAUCCAUUUUUUAAUAGUAGGAAAAUUUUAGGUGUUCUGAUGUUGUUAUUCAAGUGAUUGAGCAGAGAUCCAUUUCCAAACUUAAGCCCUCAAACAAACCCACUGUUUUGCAACACUGUGAGAGUACAUACAGCUCCUGGCUUUGUUCCAUUUUGAUGAAAUGUGUCAUUGAUAAAAGAGAGUUCAAGCUUCCCUAAAGCAAUUAAAAUGUUCUUGCCUCAGGUGGUAAAUAAAAGCACAUGAUAGAACUAAAGCAUACUGGGAGAGUGGUAAUCAGUACAGUAGUUCGGUAUUGAACAAUAUUGAACACUGUAACAAUAACACAUAAUAAAUCAUUUUGAAAGGUACAUUGGAUAUAUUUUUUCAAGGACAAAUAAAGUAUAUUCACAAGGAUCAAAAGGACACCUUAGUUAUUUUUAUGCUUUAUUUUAGAAAUUAUUGACAAUUUUUUUUUUUAAGUAGCUUUAGCUUUCUUGACUGCAAAAUGUUUGAGGAUACUUUUGGGUAUUGGUCAGUUAGAUGUAAAUAUGUUUUAUUGAAAGCUUUUUUUCUUGAUGAGAUCAUGUGGCUGUAAUGUUUCAUUUUUAAGAGCUCUGUCCUCUGAUUUUUGUACAUUAAAUAUCU